UACGAAGGGUGCAAGCGUUACUCGGAAUUACUGGGCGUAAAGCGUGCGUAGGUGGUUCGUUAAGUCUGUCGUGAAAGCCCCGGGCUCAACCUGGGAAUGGCGAUGGAUACUGGCGGGCUAGAGUGCGGUAGAGGAGAGUGGAAUUCCCGGUGUAGCAGUGAAAUGCGUAGAGAUCGGGAGGAACAUCAGUUGCGAAGGCGGCUCACUGGCCCGGUACUGACGCUGAGGUGCGAAAGCGUGGGGAGCAAACAGG
RNAcentral lists this ribosomal RNA (253 nucleotides) under uncultured bacterium. RNAcentral's name for it is "partial 16S ribosomal RNA". It matches the Rfam family "Bacterial small subunit ribosomal RNA", at positions 524 to 776 of the family's 1533-position model. The record is from RNAcentral.